GGCCCAGUGGUGUAGUGGUAACAUACUCCAGUUUCCCGAGGCGUUUCCUUUCAGUCGUUUGGCGUUUGGGGGGGUCACCUUGGAAUAGACUAGACAAGACAUAGAGGAUAGAAUAGAGGGCAUAUACAACAUAUACAGCGCUUGAGCCGAGGACGGAGUCGCUGGAGUGAGGCAGGUUCGAAUCCUGCUUGGGCUA
Non-coding RNA from Daldinia sp. EC12, 196 nucleotides. The record is from the annotation of a GenBank genome assembly. NCBI's taxonomy places the organism in Eukaryota, Fungi, Ascomycota, Sordariomycetes, Xylariales, Hypoxylaceae.